Molecule: ribosomal RNA, 755 nt
Filed under: Triticum aestivum (bread wheat)
Lineage: Eukaryota; Viridiplantae; Streptophyta; Magnoliopsida; Poales; Poaceae
Description: partial small subunit ribosomal RNA
Source: RNAcentral
CCCCAAAAUGAAGAAUCAUUUUGCAUCCUGGAAAGGAUAAUAUCAGCAAGUGUUGUGUAGGUCAAAUUACCAACCAACAAAACAAUGAUAUGCAUCAUGUGACAGUAGCAUCGUUUAAGGGAAAAUGCUCUACCAGGAGAUUGAGAGCAUACAUGCUGAUGACCACAUCGCUUCGACAUGUAUCCAUUGGAAUCUUAGGUGCAUUGUACAGUGUUGUAUUAUCGAGUAACACCAUGUGGUCAGCUGUAAGCUUGCUGAUGAAAACAACCUGGGAGUUUUGAAGUGCUGCUGUAGAUUCCUCACAAAGGUCAUACCCAGUUAGCAGUUACUUCUAUGCAACCCAGUUUGAUGUUACCAAAAGGAUCAAAGUAAUUCAAGACAUGUGAACUAAACCAAGAGGCGGCAGGGAAGAACAUGUAUGUGUGUACCUGAGGAUGAUCGUCAAGAUUAGGUCGGACGAAGGGUGUCUUCACACAAUACAUGUUUGGUGAGACACCGGCAUCCUCAUACAUCUCUCUUGUUUAAGUUUUCUCUCCUUGUUUGUUGGUUUCUUUGCUAAAACAAUAUGACAGCAAGUCAUCAGGCAGAAAUAAAAUCACCAUUGGUAUUAAUAAAGAGAUUUCGAGAAAGUAAAAAUACGUCAAAUAGGAGAAGCUUACAUGCCAUCUUGAAAUUCCUAGAAACCGAGUGACAUCCGAUGCAUGACCAACAUACACCGGAAAGAAUACAAACCUGCAUGUUCUGUACACUCUCCU